Molecule: long non-coding RNA, 333 nt
Filed under: Mytilus galloprovincialis (Mediterranean mussel)
Lineage: Eukaryota; Metazoa; Mollusca; Bivalvia; Mytilida; Mytilidae
Source: RNAcentral
GUGAGAUGAAUUUUAAUAUAGACUUUCAUAAAUAAAAAGCCAGAUUUAACAUAUUCGUGUGUUAGAUUUUGAAAAUCUUAUUGAGUCACACUGAAUAUGUGGAUUGAUUUUUGAUUGCUUGCUUAACGUCCAGUGGCAAAUAUUUCAUGCAUGUUCAGGACGAUAAACGCUGAAUAGGAAAUCAUACUGUAACCUACAUGUAUUUAUAUUCGUCUUCGUGUCAGUUCUUAACUUUUUUAAAUUUAUGUAUACCUUUUACUCUAUCAAAUGAUCAACUAAUAAGAUAAUCUUAUAUUCUAUUGAAUAACAUUAACGUAACUCAGAAAAGGGUCG